This 504-nucleotide ribosomal RNA is filed under the name uncultured bacterium. Its description in RNAcentral is "partial 16S ribosomal RNA". It matches the Rfam family "Bacterial small subunit ribosomal RNA", at positions 28 to 507 of the family's 1533-position model. The record is from RNAcentral.
GACGAACGCUGGCGGCGUGCCUAAUACAUGCAAGUCGAACGCACAGUUUAUACCGUAGCUUGCUACACCAUAGACUGUGAGUUGCGAUCGUGUGAGUAAUGCGUAGGUAACCUGCCUGGUAGCGGGGGAUAACUAUUGGAAACGAUAGCUAAUACCGCAUAAUAGUGAUUAUUGCACGAUAAUUAAUUGAAAGGUUCAACUGCACCACUACCAGAUGGACCUGCGUUGUAUUAGCUAGUAGGUGAGGUAACGGCUCACCUAGGCGACGAUACAUAGCGAACUGGGAAGGUGAUCGGCCACACUGGGACUGAGACACGGCCCAGACUUCUACGGGGGGCAGCAAUAGGGAAUCUUCGGAAAAGGACGAAAGUCUGACCCAGCAACGCCGGGUGAGUGAAGAAGGUUCUCGGGUCGUAAAGCUCUGUUGUAAGAGAAGAACGGGUGUGAGAGUGAAAAGUUCACACUGUGACGGUAUCUUACCAGAAAGGGACGGCUAACUACGUG